GAUGAACGCUGGCGGCGUGCCUAAUACAUGCAAGCCGAGCGAACAGAUAAGGAGCUUGCUCCUUUGACGUUAGCGGCGGACGGGUGAGUAACACGUGGGUAACCUACCUAUAAGACUGGGAUAACUUCGGGAAACCGGAGCUAAUACCGGAUAAUAUUUCGAACCGCAUGGUUCGAUAGUGGAAGAUGGUUUUGCUAUCACUUAUAGAUGGACCCGCGCCGUAUUAGCUAGUUGGUAAGGUAACGGCUUACCAAGGCGACGAUACGUAGCCGACCUGAGAGGGUGAUCGGCCACACUGGAACUGAGACACGGUCCAGACUCCUACGGGAGGCAGCAGUAGGGAAUCUUCCGCAAUGGGCGAAAGCCUGACGGAGCAACGCCGCGUGAGUGAUGAAGGUCUUCGGAUCGUAAAACUCUGUUAUUAGGGAAGAACAUACGUGUAAGUAACUGUGCACGUCUUGACGGUACCUAAUCAGAAAGCCACGGCUAACUACGUG
Molecule: ribosomal RNA, 497 nt
Filed under: uncultured bacterium
Lineage: Bacteria
Description: partial 16S ribosomal RNA
Rfam family: Bacterial small subunit ribosomal RNA
Source: RNAcentral